GAGAUUAUCUUAGAGUUAUUCCCCGUUGUGAAAUAGAAAGUACAUAACCCGGCAUUUUACAUGUAAACAAAGUGCUCGAAGAUUGCAAGGAAACUAAUUUGUAAUGCAGCAGAAUACGUCUACAAAUGAAGUUAAUAGGGAAGGACCUUCGCAGGCUUCUGGAUGUGCUGCAGAGGAGUUCUCAUGAUAACCAUAAUAUACCAGCAACGAUAGGUUUUUAUGGCUAGAGCGUAUGCUACACAUAUACUACAAAUUUCCGCCAUCAAUGGAGAAAACCACUUCAACCAGCACAUAUUUACAACCAAAGACUCCAAUUUGUCCAAAAGUAAGAGAAAUAACUGUUACUAGGACUGAGAGGAAGGAAAUGUACCACAAUGACAAAGAGUGAGGUGAAAGCAGUAAACAUAAGGACAGGUCCUACAAGCUUUUUGGAUUUUUUGUCUACCAAUGACAGUGUGGUGGUACUUGGUCAUAAUAUAAGAAAUUAAUAUGUUUCUGUACUUUUUCAAGCAUUAUACUGUCUUGUGAAAUUAUGGAAAGAAUUGUCACACAAGUUCAUGGUUUUCUAGACACUCUUCCAUUAUUUAAACUAGUCAAGUCAUGUCUGAACUCAUAAUACAGGAAAUUAUUGUUUUAUAUACUUGAAAUGAAAGUUCAGGUAUAAUAUUAUUUCAUAAAAUUUGUACAAUAUUCAUUUUAAUACAUAUUGUAUAAUUUGGAAAUGUUAUUGGAAUAAUGCUGUCAUAAACAUGAGAAAUUUGCAGAGAAAAGAUGUUCAGAGGAAAUUCGGGCUGAAUAUUUUCAAAAUGGCUCCACUCUUUUUUCUGAAUAUUGGACUCAUUGAUUGAUUGUUGUCAUAUUUCAUGUAAAAUCUAUGCAUUUUUUGUUUCCAUUACUCUGCAUGUAGUAACAUAUGUGACAAGGAUUCAUAUUUCUCAUAUCUCAUUGUUAUAGUCAAUGGACAAUAUCUAGGUGGCAUUGUAUUAAGGAUGUACAUUGUGAAACAUUAACUUUUUUUAUUUAAUUUAUUUUACAAAUGAAAGUUGUUCAGGUAAUAUAUAGAUCAUAAAAAUUGUGACAUGUUCAUUUUUAUUUAGAUCUUUUUUUUUUUAUUGAAAUGUAAAUGAGGAUCAAUACUUUGAGAGAAGUCGUAAACAUGAAAA
This is a long non-coding RNA of Saccostrea cuccullata (small rock oyster), 1163 nucleotides long. RefSeq lists it as uncharacterized. NCBI's taxonomy places the organism in Eukaryota, Metazoa, Mollusca, Bivalvia, Ostreida, Ostreidae. The transcript has 3 exons. The record is from RefSeq and is a predicted model, not a curated record.